UACGUAGGUGGCAAGCGUUGUCCGGAAUUAUUGGGCGUAAAGCGCGCGCAGGCGGUCCUUUAAGUCUGAUGUGAAAGCCCACGGCUCAACCGUGGAGGGUCAUUGGAAACUGGAGGACUUGAGUACAGAAGAGGAAAGUGGAAUUCCACGUGUAGCGGUGAAAUGCGUAGAGAUGUGGAGGAACACAAGUGGCGAAGGCGACUUUCUGGUCUGUAACUGACGCUGAGGCGCGAAAGCGUGGGGAGCGAACAGG
This 253-nucleotide ribosomal RNA is filed under the name uncultured bacterium. RNAcentral's name for it is "partial 16S ribosomal RNA". It matches the Rfam family "Bacterial small subunit ribosomal RNA", at positions 524 to 776 of the family's 1533-position model. The record is from RNAcentral.